RNAcentral lists this ribosomal RNA (393 nucleotides) under uncultured bacterium. RNAcentral's name for it is "partial 16S ribosomal RNA". It matches the Rfam family "Bacterial small subunit ribosomal RNA", at positions 523 to 918 of the family's 1533-position model. The record is from RNAcentral.
AUACGUAGGUGACAAGCGUUAUCCGGAUUUACUGGGCGUAAAGGGCGUGUAGGCGGUCUUGCAAGUCAGAAGUGAAAUUCCUGAGCUCAACUCGGGCGCUGCUUCUGAAACUGCAGGACUUGAGUGCUGGAGGGGAUAGCGGAAUUCCUAGUGGAGCGGUAAAAUGCGCAGAUAUUAGGAAGAACACCGGUGGCGAAGGCGGCUAUCUGGACAGUAACUGACGCUGAGGCGCGAAAGCGUGGGGAGCAAACAGGAUUAGAUACCCUGGUAGUCCACGCUGUAAACGAUGAGUGCUAGGUGUUGGGUAGCGAUACUCAGUGCCGUAGUAAACACAAUAAGCACUCCGCCUGGGGAGUACGUACGCAAGUAUGAAACUUAAAGGAAUUGACGGGG